AACGCACCUUGCGCCCUUUGGCUAUUCUGAAGGGCAUGCCUGUUUGAGUAUCAUGAACACCUCAACUCUCAUGGUCCAUCCAUGAUGAGCUUGGACUUUGGGGGUCUUGCUGGCCUAGCGUCGGCUCCUCUCAAAUGGAUCAGCUUGCCAGUGUCUGGUGGCAUCACGGGUGUGAUAACUAUCUACGCUUGUGGUUUCCUGCCAUAUAACCUUCAGUGAUGGAGGUUCGCUGGAGCUCACAGAUGUCUCUCCUCGGUGAGGACAGCUUUUUGAACGUUUGAUCUCAAAUCAGGUAGGACUACCCGCUGAACUUAA
Molecule: unclassified non-coding RNA, 315 nt
Filed under: uncultured Tomentella
Lineage: Eukaryota; Fungi; Basidiomycota; Agaricomycetes; Thelephorales; Thelephoraceae
Description: sequence contains ITS2
Source: RNAcentral